RNAcentral lists this small RNA (663 nucleotides) under Pongo abelii (Sumatran orangutan). RNAcentral describes it as "retained intron". The record is from RNAcentral. Lineage: Eukaryota; Metazoa; Chordata; Mammalia; Primates; Hominidae.
AUAGUGCGCAUGCUUGAGCCCACUUACCUAACACCUGAGAUCUUAUUGGGACGCUGCUGAUAACCAGUUUCAGAGACAGGGUUUCACCAUGUUGUACAGGCUAGUCUCCAACCCCUGGGCUUAAGCAGUCCUUCUGCCUCAGGCUCCCAAAGUGCUGGGAUUACAGAGAUGCUCAAGCACUGAAUUGUCUUAAGAAAACAAGUAAGGUUUUGUCACCUAUCCUAUUUCUCACUGCAAGCUGAAAAAAAUCAAAUCCAAACACCACCACCCCUUCUAUGACAACAAACGGCUGUGGAGGUAAAUGACUAUGUGGGCAAAGAGUUGAUGAAAAUCAUGAGCUUAGGGGCUUUAUGAAACUUUGGGAAAUCAAACUCAGAGGUUGUUUUCCAUUCUUAAAGUAAUGAAGCUCUAAGUUAAAGUUUCAGAAUCAUCACAUAACUGUUCCUAUUCCAUAACUCAUUUCUUUUUUUGCAGGUAAUCUUAUUUUUUUAAGGGUAGUUUCAUGAUGACAGUUUCAAAAAAUUACCGUGGAUAAAGAAAAAAUUGUCUCAAUGAAAUAGAAUUUUUCACUGAACACAGAAACCAUCUCAAUAGUUGCUGCUCCCUGGUUUCUAGGCCAUGCAACAGACAUCAAACUAGGAAGCCAAACUUUCACGGACCUGU